This is a long non-coding RNA of Rhineura floridana, 497 nucleotides long. RefSeq lists it as uncharacterized. NCBI's taxonomy places the organism in Eukaryota, Metazoa, Chordata, Lepidosauria, Squamata, Rhineuridae. The record is from RefSeq and is a predicted model, not a curated record. The transcript has 3 exons.
CAAAUGCAAAGAUGUAUCACUGAACGCUAAACUCAGAAUCAUUCAAAUCACGGUAUUCCCGAUCUCUAUGUAUGGAUGUGAAAGCUGGACAGUGAAAAAAGCUGAGUCUAGGAUCCCUGGCCGGGGACACCAAUGAAAGCCUUCAUGGCUGCCAUGCCACCUGUGGGAGCUGGGUUGGUGAUCUUAUCAUAAUAUAUGCAUUUUUAUAAACAUUGGUUGGAGAACUUCAUUGCAAAAUUCAGGUAUCAAUUCUCCAAAUAACACCAAGAUUUCUUAUACAUGACCAUUCAAUACUGUUGUAACUAAACAUGAACAAAAUUUAACAAAAAUAUACAAGAGACCAAAACCUCUCAAGAUACAUUUCCAGAAGCAAAGACUAUGUGUUGCCUAGCUGGCAAGAAAAUCACCCACUUCACCUGACUAACUAGACAUUACUGCGAUUAAACAUAUUUCCAGAUUUGCCAGGCUUCUAUGGAUGGGCAAUGAGCAAAUUAAUC